RNAcentral lists this ribosomal RNA (301 nucleotides) under uncultured bacterium. RNAcentral's name for it is "partial 16S ribosomal RNA". It matches the Rfam family "Bacterial small subunit ribosomal RNA", at positions 509 to 808 of the family's 1533-position model. The record is from RNAcentral.
CAGUCGCCGCGGGAAUACGUAGGUGGCGAGCGUUGUCCGGAAUUAUUGGGCGUAAAGGGAGCGCAGGCGGACAUAUAAGUCCAUCUUAAAAGUGCGGGGCUCAACCCCGUGAGGGGAUGGAAACUGUAUGCCUUGAGUGCAGGAGAGGAAAGCGGAAUUCCCAGUGUAGCGGUGAAAUGCGUAGAUAUUGGGAGGAACACCAGUGGCGAAGGCGGCUUUCUGGACUGCAACUGACGCUGAGGCUCGAAAGCCAGGGGAGCGAACGGGAUUAGAUACCCGCGUAGUCCCUGUCUCUUAUACC